AUGACUGUAUUACAGUUUGUGAUUAUAUAUGGGUUUGUGAGAGGAGCGUGUCAACCGUGCAUGCUCCACAAUGUGCCUGGAGAGAUUGAUGUUUUGUCAUCCACCUGCUUCAAAGCUGUAAAACCCGGCAGGCAGCAGCAAACGGAGAGACCUACCCAGCCCGGAAAAAAAACAAAACAAAGAAAGACCUUACUGGUGCUGUUUACACAUCUGUGUGGAGGACUAUCUGGGCUUGUGUGUUUUGACAUCGCGCUCAAAUGGCUGCACGGCUCCUGUCUCAGUGAAACGGAAGAUGUAGAGGAGCUGGAUGCUGGAGAGUGAGUGGAGGAGUGAAGCUGAGCCCUGGACGGAGGGAUCUGCUGGAGGAAAGGAGAGAGAGAGAGGUGAGUUGGGAAAGUGAUGUGGAGAGCGGAUGGGAGGGGGUAGGAAAGUGGGGAGA
This 439-nucleotide long non-coding RNA is filed under the name Salmo trutta (river trout). Its description in RNAcentral is "lncRNA (ENSSTUG00000024174.1)". The record is from RNAcentral. Lineage: Eukaryota; Metazoa; Chordata; Actinopteri; Salmoniformes; Salmonidae.